GGAGUUAGCCGGUGCUUCUUCUGUGAGUGAUGUCCUUCCUGCCGGCUAUUAACCCGCAGGCCUUCUUCCUCACUGAAAGUGCUUUACAACCCGAAGGCCUUCUUCACACACGCGGCAUGGCUGGAUCAGGGUUGCCCCCAUUGUCCAAUAUUCCCCACUGCUGCCUCCCGUAGGAGUCUGGGCCGUGUCUCAGUCCCAGUGUGGCUGAUCAUCCUCUCAGACCAGCUACGGAUCGUCGCCUUGGUGAGCCGUUACCUCACCAACCAGCUAAUCCGACAUAGGCUCAUCCGAUAGCGCGAGGCCCGAAGGUCCCCCGCUUUCCCCCGUAGGGCGUAUGCGGUAUUAGCCUGGGUUUCCCCAGGUUAUCCCCCACUACCGGGCAGAUUCCUAUGCAUUACUCACCCGUCCGCCGCUCGCCACCAGGGAGCAAGCUCCCCGUGCUGCCGCUCGACUUGCAUGUGUUAGGCCUGCCGCCAGCGUUCAAUCUGAGCCAGUNACACACUNNANGCGGCGCGNGACGACGC
This 524-nucleotide ribosomal RNA is filed under the name uncultured bacterium. Its description in RNAcentral is "partial 16S ribosomal RNA". The record is from RNAcentral.